GUGAAUCAUCGAAUUUUUGAACGCAAAUUGCACUCUCUGGUAUUCCGGAGAGUAUGCCUGUUUGAGGGUCAGUUUAAAUAAAAAUCGGUGUGUUUGCGGCUUUUCGUGGUGACGCACCGGAUUUGGGUCUUCUUGCCUUCGGUUAGGGGAUCUAAAAUUUUCCAUGAUUUUUUUCGAACGUAUUUAAAUGAUUUUACUUACGGUUGUG
Molecule: unclassified non-coding RNA, 208 nt
Filed under: Glomeraceae sp.
Lineage: Eukaryota; Fungi; Glomeromycota; Glomeromycetes; Glomerales; Glomeraceae
Description: partial contains 5.8S ribosomal RNA and internal transcribed spacer 2
Rfam family: 5.8S ribosomal RNA (bases 1-71)
Source: RNAcentral